Long non-coding RNA from Gorilla gorilla gorilla (western lowland gorilla), 3294 nucleotides. RefSeq lists it as uncharacterized. Lineage: Eukaryota; Metazoa; Chordata; Mammalia; Primates; Hominidae. The record is from RefSeq and is a predicted model, not a curated record. The transcript has 4 exons.
GCCGUGCGGACGGUGGCUGGGCUGCCGGGCGCGCUGUGGAACCGCCUCGUGCUAGAGCAGCGGGCUGGCGACGGUCCUCGCGGGGGCGGGAAGCGGCUCAGGCUGCCCUCGCUGGCCUGCGGCGGCGCGGCUGGAAGCGCGGGCCACUCGUGCGUGGGUCACUCAGGGCUGCGCCUCGCGCGACUGUGUGUGCAGGAAACAAGCAGGAAAUACCCUAAAAUAGAAUGAAGCGCCAUGUUAAAGGUCGCGGACGUCGCGAGUGCUGUGGGAAUGUGGGCUGAGGUGGAGAGUUAUGGUGGCCCGUGUUACAGGCUCAGGGGUCGGAAAGAAGCCUAAUCGUGGAGGCGGCAUCUGAGGAGGGUCUUGAACGCUGGGCAGGCAUUUGCCCGACGGAGAUGGAGGAAGCUAGUCCUGUCUGAUGGAGGAAACGGCGGAGGCGUGGAGGGAGCCGUGCAGCGCUGGUGUGAGGAGCAGCGAGCAGGCCAGGCCUGUAAAGCAGAGUGAGGGAACCAGGAUAGAGAAGGCAAGUCGGGGUCCUGUGGUCGCUGAAGAAUUUGAAUGAAAUCAGUAAACAGGCUGUACAGGAAGCAUGGUGAUGGCAUCUGCAUGGCGCCUGUGGAGGCCCCAGGGAGCUUUUACUCAUGAUGGAAGGCACAGAGGGAGUAGGCACAUCACAUGGUCCGAGGAGGAGCAAGAGAAAAUGGGAGUGGGGCUCUUUGUCCUGGGAAGAGUUUGCUGCAUCUUCCAGUUUCAGUAAUCAAAGAAGCAAAGUUCCCUGCAGUUCUUCAAGGAACCUUGAGAAUUCAGAAGGUCUUGGGGUGGCUGCAUCCAUCCUGCAGACAAAUGCCAAUCAGCAGAGGGGCCAUUCCCAGGGACACAUGUCUGGCUGACUUGGGCCUUGGCCAGGCUUUGGAUUCACCUUGAAAACAUCCUCUCUGAACAUCAGAAGUCCACUUGGUCCCCGAACAGUGUAUUAACUUCUAACAUUUCUGACUUCCAGUCAUGGAGAUUUCAAAACCAAUUGCAUAUAGCAGCGAAGCUUUUCACUUCUAAUGGAACAUUUAGGAGAAGGGCGGCUUUUCCUAUUUUCUGUGUUAUCUUCAGCCUGUUAACUGUUGUCAGCCCUGGAGAGAAACCAUCCCUUCUCCUUAAAAACAUGAACCACAUACUAAGUUGCUUCUUGCCUCUUAAAGAUUCAGGUCACUCAGUUACAUCAGACUGAGACAGGACGCUCAGGUACAUCAUACUGAGACAGGACGCUCAGGUACAUCAUACUGAGACAGGACACUCAGGUACAUCAUACUGAGACAAACACUCAGGUACAUCAUACUGAGACAGGACGCUCAGGUACAUCACACUGAGACAGGACAUGUUGAUUGUUGGUGUGUAUUUCUCCCAAGCCACCACUCAAACCAGUGUUUUAUUUCCAUGGAGGUUGGCUGAUGGCUUUUAGCUUGAGCCCCAACAGUGUGACUUCAUACAAGGCAAUUUCUUCAGAAAUAUCAUGGAACUUCAGGGACAUUAUAUUAUUAAAUUAAAAAAACCUAAUAUGUUAAUUUUUUCGUUAAGUUUAUGAGUUUACUGAGUCUUUCUUUUCCAAAAUAGUUAAUGAGCUUUUGAGUCAUGUUUUUUAUGAAAGGAUUGACUUUCCCAUGGCGUCCAACUCUGUAGAUAAUCAUCCGAAACAGAUUUGACUGUAUUUGUUUAACAAAAGUCUGCCUAAACCAAACUCUGCCCUGAAAUUUUUGUUUUCCACACUUAUGUGCUAAAUCUGUGUAAUUUGGUAGUUUGUCUCUCCAGAACCACUGUUGGUCUUGUGUAACUAAUCAGCAGAGGCAGCAGUCUGACGGGUCCACAGAGACAAAGUAGGCAGCGGGAGGAAUGCAGUGGCCAGGCAGUUGAGGCACCUCAGGACCAGCAGCUCAGCUGCAUCCUUUUCUUUUCCCAAGGUCGCACUGAGCAAGUCAGGAUGGUGAAGAAAGUCUCCAUCUCCAAACUGAACACAGGAUUUGCUGAGGUGGCCUCCUGGAGCCGAAGUGUGUUUGGGGUGAUAUCUACAAACUUCCAUCACUGCUUCACUGGUGGCCUUUGGAGAAUCACCAUUUUUUUUCGGUCUUGUUCUGUGGGAUAUAUUCUGAAAAAGUAGGACAAAUGCUAAAAUAGCGAUGCCAAAUUUAAGUUUUUCAUAGAAAUAGCAUAGUAGGGAACUAUACUCAUUUUUAUAAGGAACACAUUUAAUCGUUACUCUUUCCCUUCCUUUUUUCUUUCCUUAAGAAAUAUUGAAAGUUGAUUAUGUACAAAGAAUAGAAUAUGAUGGGAAACAAUACAAGUACCUUAUUACAUAUCACAUAGUAUAAAUAUUUAAAUUGUGAAUAUAAAUUAAACAGAGCCCCUUGAUGUCAUGGCUCAUGCCUGUAUUCCCAGCACUUUGGGAGGCCAAGGCAGGUGGAUCACUUGAGCCCAGGAAUUCAGGACUAGCCUGGGUAACAUGGCAAAACCCUGUCUCUACAAAAUGUACAAAAAUUAGCCAGGCGUGAUGGCUCACAGCUUCACUCCCAGCUACGUGGGAGGCUGAGGAAGGAGGAUCACUUGAACCCUGGAGAUUGAGGCUGCAGUGAGCCAUGACUGUGCCACUGCACUCCAGCCUGGGCAACAGAGUGAGACCUGUCUCAAUCAGUCAAUCAAUCAAUCAAUAAAACAGAGCAACUCAGCAAUAAUUAUAUAUUUAAUUAUUCUAAGUAUUAUGUUUAAUAAUAUAAUUAUAUUUAAAUAUUAUAUAUUAUGUAACACAUCAAAGUGUAUCAUAUGAAGUUUUUUGUCUCCAUCAGUCUCUCUUAUUUUGAUAGUAAUGAUAAAACACUGGCCCAACUUAAUCCUCAGAAUGUGUUUAUUGAAUUAAAUGGUAGCCAUGGAAUUCAGAAGAACUUAUUUGAAGAGCUUUAAAAGAGAAAUAACACUUAUGAUUUUCCCUAUUACAAAAGUAUUUGUUCAUAGUAGAAAAUUAGAAAAUUCUGGAAAACAUGAGGAAUAAAAGAACAAUCAUGCCUAAUUCUAUCAUUCAGAGAUAGCAAUUACUACUAAUAUUUUGGCAUAUUUUCUCUAGCCUGUGUGUGUGUGUGUGUAUCUGUGUGUGUAUGUGUGUGUGUACACAAAGAAAAAGCCAGAGGAAAUGCCAUUUUUUUAUACAAAUAUAAAACAAAAAUGAGAUCUCACAAUAUACAUUGCUUUUAGACAUAUUCUUAAAAUUUAUAUCAUGAGCAUUUCUUUUUGUUAAUAAAGUUUUAUAAAACAUGA